RNAcentral lists this unclassified non-coding RNA (306 nucleotides) under plant metagenome. Its description in RNAcentral is "partial contains 5.8S ribosomal RNA, internal transcribed spacer 2, and large subunit ribosomal RNA". The stretch from base 1 to 105 matches the Rfam family "5.8S ribosomal RNA", at positions 50 to 154 of the family's 154-position model. The record is from RNAcentral.
GAAAUGCGAUACGUAAUGUGAAUUGCAGAAUUCAGUGAAUCAUCGAAUCUUUGAACGCACAUUGCGCCCGCCAGUAUUCUGGCGGGCAUGCCUGUCCGAGCGUCAUUUCAACCAUCAAGCCCCCGGGCUUGUGUUGGGGACCUGCGGCUGCCCGCAGGCCCUGAAAACCAGUGGCGGGCUCGCUGUCACACCGAGCGUAGUAGCAAUCACCUCGCUCAGGGCGUGCUGCGGGUUCCGGCCGUUAAACAGCCUUACAAAACCCAAGGUUGACCUCGGAUCAGGUAGGAAGACCCGCUGAACUUAAGC